RNAcentral lists this transfer RNA (74 nucleotides) under Vibrio parahaemolyticus. Its description in RNAcentral is "tRNA-Met". The stretch from base 5 to 63 matches the Rfam family "tRNA", at positions 8 to 63 of the family's 71-position model. Rfam says of the family: Transfer RNA (tRNA) molecules are approximately 80 nucleotides in length. Their secondary structure includes four short double-helical elements and three loops (D, anti-codon, and T loops). Further hydrogen bonds mediate the characteristic L-shaped molecular structure. tRNAs have two regions of fundamental functional importance: the anti-codon, which is responsible for specific mRNA codon recognition, and the 3' end, to which the tRNAs corresponding amino acid is attached (by aminoacyl-tRNA synthetases). tRNAs cope with the degeneracy of the genetic code in two manners: having more than one tRNA (with a specific anti-codon) for a particular amino acid; and 'wobble' base-pairing, i.e. permitting non-standard base-pairing at the 3rd anti-codon position. RNAcentral also lists the same sequence under 1 other name. Lineage: Bacteria; Pseudomonadati; Pseudomonadota; Gammaproteobacteria; Vibrionales; Vibrionaceae. The record is from RNAcentral.
CCCUUAGCUCAGCUGGUUAGAGCAGACGGCUCAUAACCGUCCGGUCGUAGGUUCGAGUCCUACCUGCGGAGCCA